CCAAAGGCUCUUUUCAGAGCCACCCACUCAGCCGAAAAGGCCUGU
Oryctolagus cuniculus (rabbit) is the source of this 45-nucleotide regulatory RNA element. It matches the Rfam family "Histone 3' UTR stem-loop". From Rfam's summary of the family: The mRNAs of metazoan histone genes lack a poly-A tail. 3' end processing occurs at a site between a highly conserved stem-loop (modelled by this family) and a purine rich region around 20 nts downstream (the histone downstream element, or HDE). The stem-loop is bound by a 31 kDa stem-loop binding protein (SLBP - also termed the histone hairpin binding protein, or HBP). NCBI's taxonomy places the organism in Eukaryota, Metazoa, Chordata, Mammalia, Lagomorpha, Leporidae. The record is from Rfam.